CCUACGGGUGGCUGCAGUGGGGAAUAUUGGACAAUGGGGGCAACCCUGAUCCAGCCAUGCCGCGUGUGUGAAGAAGGCCCUCGGGUUGGAAAGCACUUUCAGUGAGGAAGAACGCCUGGUGGUUAAUACCCAUCAGGAAAGACAUCACUCACAGAAGAAGCACCGGCUAACUCCGUGCCAGCAGCCGCGGUAAUACGGAGGGUGCGAGCGUUAAUCGGAAUUACUGGGCGUAAAGCGCGCGUAGGUGGCUUGAUAAGCCGGUUGUGAAAGCCCCGGGCUCAACCUGGGAACGGCAUCCGGAACUGUCAAGCUAGAGUGCAGGAGAGGAAGGUAGAAUUCCCGGUGUAGCGGUGACAUGCGUAGAGAUCGGGAGGAAUACCAGUGGCGAAGGCGGCCUUCUGGACUGACACUGACACUGAGGUGCGAAAGCGUGGGUAGCAAACAGGAUUAGAUACCCUUGUAGUC
Molecule: ribosomal RNA, 465 nt
Filed under: Vreelandella stevensii
Lineage: Bacteria; Pseudomonadati; Pseudomonadota; Gammaproteobacteria; Oceanospirillales; Halomonadaceae
Description: partial 16S ribosomal RNA
Rfam family: Bacterial small subunit ribosomal RNA
Source: RNAcentral